This 625-nucleotide unclassified non-coding RNA is filed under the name Hevea brasiliensis (rubber tree). Lineage: Eukaryota; Viridiplantae; Streptophyta; Magnoliopsida; Malpighiales; Euphorbiaceae. The record is from RNAcentral.
GUUCUUGUUGAUUUCCAUCACUUGUAUAACAGACAACUAAAAAUCUCAUCUCUUUUGUAUGUGGUUGAUGAUGUGGCACUUUUUGAGUUGGUGGUGCACAUCUCUAUGUAUUAGUUUUACUUCACUGCCAAGGCUAGACCACUAGAUUUUCAAGCCAUGGGCACAGUUAUAAGUUGUUGCUGAUAACCACUGUCCCUGAUCAAAUUACCUUGGACCUUUACUCUAGCUAUCAGCUAUAAGCUAUUAUGAUUUUGCACAUAAUGUUGUGUUUGAAAUCAAUGGCUAGGAGUGGAACACUUUGAAAUCAAUGGCUAUUAUGAUUUUGUGGAUUUGCCAUCACUCAUAAAAUCUAUCUACAAUUCUUGAAGAGCUCCAAGAUAAUGUUUUGAUGAUAAAAGAAACUGUGCUAAAAAAAAAAAAAAAAAACUUGGGAGAAAUGGUGAGUUUUGCUCAACUGGGCAGGAGAUGGGUUUUGAGCAGAAGAAAGAAGCAGAGAGCCAGAAGUGAGGGGCCUGCAAACACAGCAUUCUUUAUUUGGUUUGGUUUUGUUCUGUUUUCCUCAUUGAGCUUUUCUCUCUCUUAAUUGUCUGUUGCUGUAAGCGACUUUUUUUUCACUGUAAGCGAC